RNAcentral lists this ribosomal RNA (258 nucleotides) under uncultured Glomeraceae. Its description in RNAcentral is "partial small subunit ribosomal RNA". It matches the Rfam family "Eukaryotic small subunit ribosomal RNA", at positions 624 to 886 of the family's 1831-position model. Lineage: Eukaryota; Fungi; Glomeromycota; Glomeromycetes; Glomerales; Glomeraceae. The record is from RNAcentral.
AAGCUCGUAGUUGAAUUUCGGGAUCAAUACGUCGGUCGUGCCUCUGGUAUGUAUUGGCGUUGUUGGUUUCUCCUUUCUGAGGAGCCAUGAUGCCAUUAAUUUGGUGUCGUGGGGAAUCAGGACUGUUACUUUGAAAAAAUUAGAGUGUUUAAAGCAGGCACACGCUUGAAUACAUUAGCAUGGAAUAAUGAAAUAGGACGUUCGAUCCUAUUUUGUUGGUUUCUAGGAUUGACGUAAUGAUUAAUAGGGAUAGUUGGG